GUUAUUCUUUUUUCCAGCAGAAAAGUGUCAGAGUGAUGUAUGCUCAGGGGAUCUUUGCCCUAUUUCCCUAUCUGGAGGACCAAAACAUGGAUAUGAGCAUUACUAUGAUCCAGAGAGCGUUCAGGAUACCUUGCUUGGCGUUUAAAGACUAUUCAAAGAAAAACUGCAGAGGAAAGGGGUGCCUCAGGUAGCAAAUCUCCCAAAAGUGGUGGACCAGGCCAUGGUCAAUCCAGGGUUUUCACUGCUGACAAAGUGCUGUCAGAUGAGGAAGUGGAAGCAGCUAUUGCUGUUUUGAAACACUCUGCUGAUGAUGACACUGUCCGUGAGAAGAUGAAGGCUACCUUCCAUUACCGUCAUUCAAUGGUCAAUGAUGAAAAGAAAGCAGCAGAUGUCUUCUCUGUCUUUCCAAGAUUUCUGGAGACACCAGGACUGAUAGAACAAGAUUUCAGACUCCUGUUUGGCGAAGGCACUGCCAAUAAAGUUUUGGAGAAGUGGCCCACCAGUCUCAAAUCCAAGGUUAUAAAGGAAAGCCAUGGCCUGGUACCCACCACUGAGCUCUUGGAUUUAU
Gambusia affinis (western mosquitofish) is the source of this 568-nucleotide long non-coding RNA. RefSeq lists it as uncharacterized. Lineage: Eukaryota; Metazoa; Chordata; Actinopteri; Cyprinodontiformes; Poeciliidae. The record is from RefSeq and is a predicted model, not a curated record. The transcript is spliced from 4 exons.